Molecule: ribosomal RNA, 460 nt
Filed under: uncultured bacterium
Lineage: Bacteria
Description: partial 16S ribosomal RNA
Rfam family: Bacterial small subunit ribosomal RNA
Source: RNAcentral
CCUACGGGAGGCAGCAGUGAGGAAUAUUGGUCAAUGGGCGGAAGCCUGAACCAGCCAAGUAGCGUGCAGGAUGACGGCCCUACGGGUUGUAAACUGCUUUUAUACGGGAAUAACGCGCCUUACGUGUAGGGCUUGGCAUGUACCGGAGGAAUAAGGACCGGCGAAUGCCGUGCCAGCAGCCGCGGUAAUACGGAAGGUCCGGGCGUUAUCCGGAUUUAUUGGGGUUAAAGGGAGCGUAGGCCGCAUGUCAAGCGUGCGUUUAAAUGUCCGGGCUCAACCCGGGCCUUGCAGCGCGAACUGGCGUGCUUGAGUCCGCGGAAAGCAGGCGGAAUUCGUCGUGUAGCGGUGAAAUGCUUAGAUAUGACGAAGAACCCCGAUUGCGCAGGCAGCUUGCUGCAGCGGAACUGACGCUGAUGCUCGAAAGCGCGGGUAUCGAACAGGAUUAGAUACCCUUGUAGUC